This 73-nucleotide transfer RNA is filed under the name Marmota monax (woodchuck). RNAcentral's name for it is "tRNA.Ala". It matches the Rfam family "tRNA". Rfam says of the family: Transfer RNA (tRNA) molecules are approximately 80 nucleotides in length. Their secondary structure includes four short double-helical elements and three loops (D, anti-codon, and T loops). The record is from RNAcentral. Lineage: Eukaryota; Metazoa; Chordata; Mammalia; Rodentia; Sciuridae.
UGGAGAUGUGGCUCAGGGGUAGAGUGCUUGCUUAGCAUGCAAAAGGCCCUGGAUUCAAUACCCAGUACUGCAA